GAGUUUGAUCCUGGCUCAGGAUGAACGCUAGCGGCAAGCCUAACACAUGCAAGUCGAACGGUAACAGAGAAGAGCUUGCUCUUUUGCUGACGAGUGGCGCACGGGUGCGUAACGCGUAUACAAUCUACCUUUUACAGGGGGAUAGCCUUUAGAAAUGAAGAUUAAUAUCCCAUAGUAAGUUAUCAUGGCAUCAUGGUUACUUUAAAGCUUCGGCGGUAAAAGAUGAGUAUGCGUUCUAUUAGCUAGAUGGUGUGGUAACGGCACACCAUGGCAACGAUAGAUAGGGGCCCUGAGAGGGGGACCCCCCACACUGGUACUGAGACACGGACCAGACUCCUACGGGAGGCAGCAGUGAGGAAUAUUGGACAAUGGGCGAGAGCCUGAUCCAGCCAUGCCGCGUGCAGGAAGACUGCCCUAUGGGUUGUAAACUGCUUUUAUAUAGGAAGAAACCUUUCCACGUGUGGAAAGCUGACGGUACUAUAAGAAUAAGGAUCGGCUAACUCCGUGCCAGCAGCCGCGGUAAUACGGAGGAUCCAAGCGUUAUCCGGAAUCAUUGGGUUUAAAGGGUCCGUAGGUGGAUAAUUAAGUCAGAGGUGAAAGUUUGCAGCUCAACUGUAAAAUUGCCUUUGAUACUGGUUAUCUUGAAUUAUUGUGAAGUGGUUAGAAUAUGUAGUGUAGCGGUGAAAUGCAUAGAUAUUACAUAGAAUACCAAUUGCGAAGGCAGAUCACUAACAAUAUAUUGACACUGAUGGACGAAAGCGUGGGGAGCGAACAGGAUU
This 779-nucleotide ribosomal RNA is filed under the name uncultured bacterium. RNAcentral's name for it is "bacterial SSU rRNA". It matches the Rfam family "Bacterial small subunit ribosomal RNA", at positions 9 to 779 of the family's 1533-position model. The record is from RNAcentral.